GAAAUGCGAUAAGUAAUGUGAAUUGCAGAAUUCAGUGAAUCAUCGAAUCUUUGAACGCACAUUGCGCCCGCCAGUAUUCUGGCGGGCAUGCCUGUCCGAGCGUCAUUUCAACCAUCAAGCCCCCGGGCUUGUGUUGGGGACCUGCGGCUGCCCGCAGGCCCUGAAAACCAGUGGCGGGCUCGCUGUCACACCGAGCGUAGUAGCAAUCACCUCGCUCAGGGCGUGCUGCGGGUUCCGGUCGUUAAACAGCCUUACAAAACCCAAGGUUGACCUCGGAUCAGGUAGGAAGACCCGCUGAACUUAAGC
RNAcentral lists this unclassified non-coding RNA (306 nucleotides) under plant metagenome. RNAcentral's name for it is "partial contains 5.8S ribosomal RNA, internal transcribed spacer 2, and large subunit ribosomal RNA". The stretch from base 1 to 105 matches the Rfam family "5.8S ribosomal RNA", at positions 50 to 154 of the family's 154-position model. The record is from RNAcentral.